UACGAAGGGGGCUAGCGUUGCUCGGAAUCACUGGGCGUAAAGGGUGCGUAGGCGGGUCUUUAAGUCGAGGGGUGAAAUCCUGGAGCUCAACUCCAGAACUGCCUUUGAUACUGAAGAUCUUGAGUUCGGGAGAGGUGAGUGGAACUGCGAGUGUAGAGGUGAAAUUCGUAGAUAUUCGCAAGAACACCAGUGGCGAAGGCGGCUCACUGGCCCGAUACUGACGCUGAGGCACGAAAGCGUGGGGAGCAAACAGG
RNAcentral lists this ribosomal RNA (254 nucleotides) under uncultured bacterium. Its description in RNAcentral is "partial 16S ribosomal RNA". It matches the Rfam family "Bacterial small subunit ribosomal RNA", at positions 524 to 776 of the family's 1533-position model. The record is from RNAcentral.